AGAAUAUAAGAAACCGUUUCUUAACUUUUAACUAAAAAACAACUAAGAACCGACUCGUAAAUAUCUUAUUUAAGAGCCGGUUCUUAGCUUUUUUAGUUAAAAGUUAAGAGAUAGUUUUUUAUAUUCA
This is a microRNA precursor of Brassica oleracea var. oleracea, 127 nucleotides long. It matches the Rfam family "MIR9563 microRNA precursor family". The record is from Rfam. NCBI's taxonomy places the organism in Eukaryota, Viridiplantae, Streptophyta, Magnoliopsida, Brassicales, Brassicaceae.